RNAcentral lists this ribosomal RNA (112 nucleotides) under Chinchilla lanigera (long-tailed chinchilla). The record is from RNAcentral. Lineage: Eukaryota; Metazoa; Chordata; Mammalia; Rodentia; Chinchillidae.
GUCUGACGCCAUACCAUCCUGAAUGUGCCAAAUCUUGUCUGAUCUCGGAAGCUAAACAGGGUCAGGACUGGUAAAGUACAUGGAUGGGAGAAAUACACUGCUAUUACAGACA